RNAcentral lists this ribosomal RNA (468 nucleotides) under uncultured bacterium. RNAcentral's name for it is "partial 16S ribosomal RNA". It matches the Rfam family "Bacterial small subunit ribosomal RNA", at positions 28 to 507 of the family's 1533-position model. The record is from RNAcentral.
GACGAACGCUGGCGGCGUGCUUAACACAUGCAAGUCGAACGGAAAGGCCCUGCUUUUGUGGGGUGCUCGAGUGGCGAACGGGUGAGUAACACGUGUGUAACCUGCCCUUGACUUUGGGAUAACUUCAGGAAACUGGGGCUAAUACCGGAUAGGAUCUCCUGCUGCACGGGGGGGGUUGGAAAGUUUCGGCGGUUGGGGAUGUACUCGCGGCUUAUCAGCUGGUUGGUGGGGUAGUGGCUUACCAAGUCUUUGACGGGUAGCCGGCCUGAGAGGGUGGCCGGCCACAUUGCGACUGCGAUACGGCCCAGACGCCUACGGGAGGCAGCAGUGGGGAACAUUGCACAGUGGGCGGAAGCCUGAUGCGGCAACGCCGCGUGCGGGAUGACGGCCUUCGGGUUGUAAACAGCUUUCGAAUGUGCCGAAGAGUGAGUGACGGUAAUGGGUAAAGAAGCACCGGCUAACUACGUG